CGGUAGGGUGCGAGCGUUGUCCGGAAUUAUUGGGCGUAAAGAGCUCGUAGGCGGCCUGUUGCGUCCGCUGUGAAAGCCCGGGGCUUAACCCCGGGUCUGCAGUGGAUACGGGCAGGCUAGAGUUCGGCAGGGGAGACUGGAAUUCCUGGUGUAGCGGUGAAAUGCGCAGAUAUCAGGAGGAACACCGGUGGCGAAGGCGGGUCUCUGGGCCGAUACUGACGCUGAGGAGACGAAAGCGGUGGGGAGCGAACAGGAUUAGACUACCCUGGUAGUCCACGACCGUAAACGGUUGGGCGCUAGGUGGUCGGGGUCCCUUCCGACGGGUUCCGUGCCGUAGCUAACGCAUUAAGCCGCCCCGCCUGGGGAGUACGGCCGCAAGGCUA
RNAcentral lists this ribosomal RNA (383 nucleotides) under uncultured organism. RNAcentral's name for it is "bacterial SSU rRNA". It matches the Rfam family "Bacterial small subunit ribosomal RNA", at positions 525 to 896 of the family's 1533-position model. The record is from RNAcentral.